UGCUCUGUGAAAUGGACCUUCUGAUGACUGGAGAGACGGGUUUUCUUGCUAAAAGUCAAGGGACAAUGAGGGCAAGAGAAGACCUUGCGUCUUGAAGGCUUCUCUGGCCCCCAGCUUCUGGCCUUGGUGCGUCUUCUGGUGGCGUUUGAGCUCAGACUGGUCCCGGAAGCACUUCCCACAGAAGGGGCACGCAUGGGGCCGGUAGCCCAGAUGGACACGGCGGUGACGGCUCAGUCCAGAAGCAUCGCAGUAGGUCUUGCCACAGAGUGAGCAGCGGAAGGGCCUCUCCCUGAGUUGCUUGCGCCGGCCGGAGCUGAGGUCCUUGGGGUUCUGGAAGGACUUCCCACAAUGGGUGCUGUUGUGAACAAGCUGGUGGUUGUAGAGGCUGGAGCGCUUGCUGAAGCACUUGCCACAGGUGUGACAGGUAAAGGCUGGCCGAGCCCAGGAUUCUGGCAACGCUGGCGUCUUGUCCGGGGACCCAGUUGGAGGAGAGGUUGGGCCUGAGCCUCUGUGAUCAAGGGAGGCCUUCUUGUCAUCAACAGUCCCUUCAUCUCCCAAACUCUGACUCUGUUCUUGGCAUCCUUCCUUCUUGCCUCCUGGAGGGAACAAGAAAAAAGAUGGGAUUCAUCAUGACAGCCCUGACACAGCUCUCUGCUCAGUCCACACUGCUUCCUCUCCCACCCGACAUUCACCCUCACUCUUACACCUCAGAGACCAGAGAUAAGAGUAAACUUUUGGGUUUUCAAAUUAAAAGCAAAUAAAAAUUUAACUUGAAUCUUCCAACAAUAUUGGAGAUCAAAAUUUUAA
Odocoileus virginianus texanus is the source of this 807-nucleotide non-coding RNA. Lineage: Eukaryota; Metazoa; Chordata; Mammalia; Artiodactyla; Cervidae. The record is from RefSeq and is a predicted model, not a curated record.